AGUCAAUUAUCUUAAGAAAAGAGUAUAUUUUGAAAAUAUAAUUUAAAAUCUAAAAAUUUUAUUGGCUU
This 68-nucleotide transfer RNA is filed under the name Orthogonalys pulchella. Its description in RNAcentral is "tRNA-Ser". Lineage: Eukaryota; Metazoa; Arthropoda; Insecta; Hymenoptera; Trigonalidae. The record is from RNAcentral.